CUCAUCUUGAGUACUGCAUUCAGUUCUGGAUGCUAGAAUGCAGACAAACUGGGUUCAGAAGAGGGCAACGAGGAUGAUCAGAGGACUGGAAACAAAGCUCUAUGAGGAUAAACAGAAAGAAACUGGGCCUGUGUAGCCUUGAAAAGACUGAGAGGAGAUAUGACAGUGCUACUCAAGUACUUGAAAGGUUGCCACACAGAGGAGGGCCAGGAUCUCUUCUCGAUUAUCCCAGAGUGCAGGACACAGAAUAAUGGCUCAAGUUGCAGGAAGCCAGAUUUCAACUGAACAUCAGGAAAACUUCCUACCUGUUAGAGCAGUACAACAAUAGAACCAAUUACCUACAGAGGUGGGGAGCUCUCCCACACUGGAGGCAUUCAGAGGCAGCUGGACAUCCACACGUCGCGUAUGCUUUGAUUUGGAUUCUUGCAUUGAGCAGGGGAUUGGACUCUAUGGCCUUAUGGGCCCCUUCCAACUCUAUGUUUCUAUGAUUUUCAGUGCUUGUCCAUGUAUGUGCAGACCACCACACCAAGUCUGGCAGCACUAAUGAGUGACUACACUUCAUGGCCACUCUUGUGGGACUUUCUUCUCCAGGCCUCUGGUUAAUGUCCAGGGGGAAAAUAUAAAUUGGAGUAAAGAUUAAAGGAAAGACACAUCAAAAGAACAAGUUAUAGAUGAAACCUGUUUUGAAAACAGCAUAUACAAAGAAUAAAUGGAAAUACAUCAAUAUUCUCUAUUUUGCAGCUGAUUGGUGGCUGAGUUAUUUUAUCACAAUAUGACACAAGAAGUCCUAGCCAGUUUCUGACUGCAUUUGACCCCUGGAAAAACAGACUUGUCUCUGCCUCUUUGAAAAGUUUUUCAUGAGCACUGAACGCACUAAGGUGCCUCUAGACCAUCAGAUUUCACUUCAUUAUGGAAAAUUGUGCAAGCGGAUAUCUCAGUCCACAACAUAUCUCAUUAGUCACUGUUUGAUACUCCUAUUUUCUCAUUUUUUGUCUGUGUAAUAUCUUGUGCAAGGAGUAACCAAUGUGAUACUCUCCAGAUGUUGGACUCCAACUUCCAUCAGCCCCAGCCAGCCUGGCGAAGGACCAGGUAUGAUGGAAACUGUAGUCCAGUAACAUCUGGAGAGCACCAUAUUGCCUAUCCGUGUUGUAAGUCAUUAACCAAGCAAUUUCUUCAGGGUUUUUGCACCAGUGUAUCCAUGUGUGCCUUUCUCCUUUCAUCCAGCAAUAUCUUUUACUAGGAGAUAAAUCUCAGUCCCUUAUAAAUCCAUUUCAAGGUAUCACAUGUAAUCAAAUUGAUCAGUGGGUGUAUAGA
This is a long non-coding RNA of Rhineura floridana, 1314 nucleotides long. RefSeq lists it as uncharacterized. The transcript has 3 exons. The record is from RefSeq and is a predicted model, not a curated record. NCBI's taxonomy places the organism in Eukaryota, Metazoa, Chordata, Lepidosauria, Squamata, Rhineuridae.